This 450-nucleotide ribosomal RNA is filed under the name uncultured bacterium. RNAcentral describes it as "bacterial SSU rRNA". It matches the Rfam family "Bacterial small subunit ribosomal RNA", at positions 29 to 524 of the family's 1533-position model. The record is from RNAcentral.
AACGAACGCUGGCGGCAUGCCUAACACACGCAAGUCGAACGAGACCUUCGGGUCUAGUGGCGCACGGGUGCGUAACGCGUGGGAAUCUGCCCUUGGGUUCGGAAUAACAGUUAGAAAUGACUGCUAAUACCGGAUAAUGUCUUCGGACCAAAGAUUUAUCGCCCAGGGAUGAGCCCGCGUAGGAUUAGCUAGUUGGUGAGGUAAAGGCUCACCAAGGCGACGAUCCUUAGCUGGUCUGAGAGGAUGAUCAGCCACACUGGGACUGAGACACGGCCCAGACUCCUACGGGAGGCAGCAGGUGGGAAUAUUGGACAAUGGGCGAAAGCCUGAUCCAGCAAUGCCGCGUGAGUGAUGAAGGCCUUAGGGUUGUAAAGCUCUUUUACCCGGGAUGAUAAUGACAGUACCGGGAGAAUAAGCCCCGGCUAACUCCGUGCCAGCAGCCGCGGUAAU